AGGACGAACGCUGGCGGCAGGCCUAACACAUGCAAGUCGAGCGGCCGUAGCAAUACGGCAGCGGCAGACGGGAGAGUAACACGUGGGAACGUACCCUUCAGUUCGGAACAACCCAGGGAAACUUGGGCUAAUACCGAAUACGUCCGUAAGGAGAAAGAUUUAUCGCUGAGGGAUCGGCCCGCGUCUGAUUAGCUAGUUGGUGAGGUAACGGCCCACCAAGGCUACGAUCAGUAGCUGGUCUGAGAGGAUGAUCAGCCUCACUGGGACUGAGACACGGCCCAGACUCCUACGGGAGGCAGCAGUGGGGAAUAUUGGACAAUGGGCGCAAGCCUGAUCCAGCCAUGCCGCGUGGGUGAUGAAGGCCCUAGGGUUGUAAAGCCCUUUCGGCGGGGAAGAUAAUGACGGUACCCGCAGAAGAGCCCGGCUAACUUCGUGCCAGCAGCCGC
Molecule: ribosomal RNA, 446 nt
Filed under: uncultured bacterium
Lineage: Bacteria
Description: SSU rRNA
Rfam family: Bacterial small subunit ribosomal RNA
Source: RNAcentral